UAUAUAUAUAGCUGCACAGUCCCAAGCUGCUAAAACACUCCUCACUUUCACUCUCGCCUCACAGGACGAAUGCUCCAAACACAUUACUUAGAGGCAAGGCCUGUGAUCUCAGAAUAACCGUGCCCCGUUUCUCGUAUUGGUCACUGACAAAACGGGGUGUCACCCCCCUCCCCUCCACCCCGGUCCCUUUCUACAGUGGCGGAGGAGUUCGCUCGCCUUUGUACGAAAUUACGAUUUUUCCGCUUUUUUUUUUCUUGCUUCUAGAUUGAAUUACGGAAUGAAUAAAGGCAGGAGCUCUGAACUGAGCGGUUUUUAUCUGUAGUUUAUAGUAAUUUUGAUUUCAGUAUAAUCUGAAUGAAAGCAUCGUACGGCUGGGCCAAUAAUCCGUACAACUGGACCCAACUCUGUGACUCUGACUCUGCCAUCACCCACAGUCUCAAUAAAUUCAGUAUGACCUAGUUUUUACUUGAAAAUUCAGUCUUAAAUGUAUUGCACAUUUUUGACUUCAAUUUGCAAACAGUUUUCCGGGAACUUGAAUAUUAUUUUCACGAUGUGGAGGAUGCUCGGAAUAUAACCGACUAUGCUCCGUUUCCUGCUGCGGGUGGAGUUUUCAACAUAAUCCGAUUGUUUCAAAAAGCGAUUAAAACGCAGCCAAAGUCCCGUGUUGAAGAUCUGAAGGUUCACGCAUUUUGAAUUCGGUACCUUAUUUAAUGAAUCGCUGAAAAAAAACCAUCGUUACAAAUUGGGAGAAAGUGGCAUUUACAUAUCACCCUUAUCAUAUCUGUCUCCAAAUGUAUCACAAACAAAGUUCAGUGUUUGCUGUGUGGUUGAACAGCGCCAAACUUGGUGCUGAUUUUAAUCAUGUUUUUUGGUUCAUAUGUCCGCAGCCGAGUGCACACUUGAGGCGCAGAGGACACUGACUAGGUGAUAUGAGCACAGGUUAUCCUACUAAAUGUUAUCGCUCUAUAACCUUAACCUUGCUUAACCCUUCAAUGUCGCCUUUAGACUUCACACCAUUUACUCCUAAAUCUUAAUCCUCGCACAAUCUCUUUAACAUUCACCUCACUAACCCGAAGCGACACCAUGGGCGGGUUCAGCCCAGCCUCCACGCUGCAGUGUGUCAGUCUGCGAAUUAUAAUUACCUCAGGAGAUAUUUCUCAAGUGUUUCAAAUGUCAUUCUGCAAAUGUCAGUUUCCUUUCAAAUAUUUCGUAGCUGUUCUUUAUAUCAGAACAAACUCUCUUGGCUGCAGGUGGAAAAUAUACUUUGUUAUACACGCCAGCUACAUUAAUUCAGAUAUGAACGUGCUCUUGGUAACUAAAAUUACAUUUAUUGAUGUGCUUACGUCCCUAACUCUGUAUAGAUGCAUUUAUUUACGUCUGGCAAUCUGUAUGCACCAAGGUCUGAAUUUAUGCAGUUCUAUAUUUAACCAUAGGCAUUGUUCAUUGUGCAUUCAUUUAACUAAUCCAAACAAAAUACAAGUACAGUAAGAAAAAAGCUAUACUGGAGUGUAGUGAUUUUUCGAUACCAGUUUCUGCCUCUUAAGUGCCAUACGUUGCAAGCAUGUGAUAAUUGGGAUUGCUAUUUCUUAGAUCAAAGGUUGGUAUAAACGCCAUGCUUGGAUUAAGAAUUCUAUUGGACGAGGUUGAUCUUCAGAAAUAUUUUAGCGCUGCACUGCGUUUAUACAUGUGUAUAUUCAGCUGUGUGUGAGUAUACUGCGGUGUGCUUUUCGGGGCAUGUGUAUCUAUCUAUUUACGUGCACAAAUACCAUCGUCUGACUCUCUGCCUCCAUGCGCAUUGAUAUGUAAACGUAUAUACAGAGAUACUGUGCCGUGUCAAAUCACAACCCCACAUGAUAACGAUGUUUACUGGACACCCAUUAAUAGCAUUAAGAGGUUGAUGUCAGUUACUAGCAUGGCUUAGUUAUCAAAUAUAUCACUCAAGACUUUUUAAUGUUGAAAGUGAUUAGCAAGUGAAUUCGUACAGCCAAGCAAAAGAAUCUUACAAUAAUGACAAAACAAAGCGGAUAUACUGGCGAUAUCUGCGUGUGCUGUGAGACUCCGCACUGGAAUAGGAAAUUUGUUUCGGUUAGCAGUUGUUAUUGUUUUAACUAUUUAAGUCGUUAACGUUUAGACUGCUUUCUGCACUCCACUUUUAACUUUGCGUCCCAGCAUUGCUCUUUAUUUUUUUUUCAAGUCGGGUUUGACCCGCUUGUCCAUUUAAUUGUGAAAUGAGCACACUCACAGCAACACAUAACCUGCAUUUACCACUAGAUGCCCUUAGUUCCUGUUGCAGAUGGCACGAAGUGUAAGCUUUCCCUAAUACCUGAUGCCAGUGGAGCUGCUUAGCUCCAAUAUUGCCUUUAAUCAGUUCUUUUUUCGUGAAUAGACUAUUGGUGUCUGUAAUUGAAAUCCUCCAAAGCCCAAACUGCCUUAAGUAAUAAUAAGGCGUUUCUGUUAGGGAAGGAAACCAGUUUUGUUGUUGCACCAGUCUUUAUUAAAGAUGAAAAGUUACAUAACUAAUGAUUUAAAAGAAAACAUUGCUUGGUGCAAAAUGUUCUGCUGUACUGCUAAAUUAGUUGGCCGUUAGACAGUACAGCAUAGUCAAAAAAUAUGUAUUAUGUUUAAUAUUUUCAAGGUCCAAUCUCAAAAAGACACGGUCCUGUUUUUACUGCCAAGAUGACAGUUGAAGCGACCAAAUUGCAAAAUACAACAGACAGGCGGGACUUCGGACACUUUAGUCGGAGUGGUAAGAGUGCUUUUGUUUUCUUCAGUCAUUUUGUUUUAUCUUAUCACUUGUUUUUUAGUUCUAGUUUCAACUCUGUAUUCUUGCAAUUGCUUCGAUUUCUCCCCCCCCCCCACCCCCAAUAACCCUCUGAGGGCAUCAGUAAUGUUAACCCCACAACGAACAACUGAUUAAUGUUAAAAAAAACAUUCCGCCCUCCCCAAAAUAACCUCUCAGCCCACCGGAGAAAACGGGGGCGGAUGGGGGAGUGGGGUGGAAGCUUCUCGUUAACGGAAUUGCAAGAUAAAGAGGCGGUUUCAAGAGUGUUAAACUGCACUUGCUCGGGUAGCCGCCACGAUUUCCCACAAAGACUCUCUGGCUUUAAUCCUGACUGAUUUCGCCAUCUGUCUAACUUCCAUGAGGAAUAAGCUGUCUGAUGUUUGAUAAUCAUCAUAGUCGAUUGAAACCACCGCGAUCUCACGUCCCUAUGUCGGACAAAUAAAGAUAAAGUAUUCAAUAUAUCAUUAGGCAUGCUAACAAUUAUUGGUGUCUAGAGUUUUUCCGAAUGGAAUGAUAGAAAAUGGACUUAAAUGACCGAGGGGUCAUUGAGUGUCAGUCCUGAACGUUUAGUAAAACCAACAGAACUAUUAGGGAACUAAUAGAAUUGACCAUCCUGCCCAGUAAAUGAGGCCCAAAUAUUAACCCCUUUAAAAUGUACUGAAAACCAUGGAGGCCCACGUUUGAAAUGAGCCCCAUAAGCCAUUUUCUGGACGUGCCUGUCCCGUCAAAGCCACAAACAAGUCCCUAUGUCGGAGUUCCAAUCGUCAUAGCCCACACCCACUGACUAUUGUACAGACCAUGCAAUGGUAUUUUCACUGUUCAAACUAACUCCGAGGUCUGCAACGGAUAGAACCUGCAGCUUCCCAGCAGGAAGACAAGAAAAAACACCAUUGAUAAAUAAAUACAUUGGGAGAAAUAGAAUCGCCAGCCCUUCGGCCAAACCACCCACCCACCCCGCCGGGUGAACAAAUCCGACCCAAUUAUUUCAAUUAGAAAUAGCCGUGUCUCCAUUUCUUUUAACGUUCUUUGCUCCGAUUCCAUUGGAUUUAACAAGAGACGCAAAUUAGGGACGCGGCGCACACCCGUUGGGAUAUCUGGGAAAACAGCCAUGGAAAUUCCGGACUGAAGGGAGAAAAAAGGCGGUUCAUUUAGAGCGAGUUUGUGGAUUAUAUAAGAUAAAAUCUGGUCAAUGCCAAGUGUAAAUUAGAAACCGUGCGGAACAAUACAAUCGAACCAAAACGCGUUGACGGGCGGAUCACAAAAUAUGAAGGGGUUUUAAAGCCUUUACAUUUAGACAAAAUUGACGUCUGCAGGCUAUUUAUAUGAUUGUCUUUUUCUGCGUUUAGACAUUUUCAAACGUUACUUCCAAUAUUACACUUCCAUAACGCCCAUCUUUAACUAUUUAUGACCUAUUAUGAAGCAAUAAUAACGCACUUCCUAUCAUGAUCCUGUGACGGUGCAAGCGUGGAAUAGAAUGGUCAAAAGCUAAUUAUCGCUCCUUACACGACGAAAGCAAUUCCGUUCGAUUUUUUUUUGCCGUACGGAGAAUCGGUGCUUGCCCCACAUCCGAGUGCUUCAAGCUGCACUUGCUAUCGAAAAUAUUACUGAAUGAAUUCCGUGGCUUGCUGUCGAAAAGAAACAUGAAAGGAAGAAUCGAAUUGUUUUUUUUACUGACCACUUGGAAACAAAAUAUCAGGAAGGAGUCGUUCACCGCUCCCGGGAUAAACGUAGAGCUUGGUAUGGUCACACGGAGGGUUUGGAUAUAACAUUCUAUCUCUGGUGGUUCCAGACUGGCCUGUCCUGCCGAGGUGGGAACGGAUGAGAGCGGGCCCUGUGGACAGUGCGGAAACCCAAUCUCACAUACAGUAGCGCCAAGGCUUCAGCUCCAUCUGGGAUCUGUCACACUGACAGCGCCAUAGGUCAGAGAGAGAGAGAGAGAGAGAGACUCUCCAAAAACACACCACAGCAUCUCCCGAAAUAUCAGACCAUGCACCCACUUUGGCAGCGUCCAACACCACUCACUCUCCUGUAGCUUCACCUUCAACGGCCCAUCAGAAGUUAACAAGGAGACGAACCUUCGGCUAUCCCCAUAUGGACACAUUAGUUUUUCAUUUGCCCCGGCCAUUGACAGCAGUUUUAAUUAUCAUAUAUCGAACACACCUUGAUGGAAAACAAGCAUUGGGUGUAUUUUUUAAAUGUUAAAAUGUAACCAAACAUGGGCAAUACAACACUAAUCCAAAUGGCACCCAAAUGUUAUUGUGGAUUGUGCAGUGCCAAAUUUGUGUUUUCCAACUCCUAAUGGCCUUGUUCCUACCAAUAGCUCUCUUCACAGAUAUAAAAAGUCCCAUUGUUAACUCAUCAAAUGUGUAUUGACCUGGUGCCUCAGUAUAUAUGCACUGAGUGUAUAUAGUGUAUAUAUACACAAUAUAAUACAUAUCUAUAUACACAGUAUAUAUAGUAUAUAGAUUUUUCAGACUCACUAGUUUUCUCUUAGAAAUAGCUCUAUAUAUAAAACACUUAAAUUUCCAUUUUAACUCAUUAAAUGUCUACAGAUAUGGAGUCUCAAAUGUGUGUAGAUGGUUAAAGAAAGAAAAUAAAAAUAUAGGCACAAUGUAGAUGUGUAGACAUUGAAUGAGUUAAGAAUAGAAAUUACUUCAAAUCACUUCAUAAGAACACCCUCGCAGGCAUUUUGUUCACAUGUACACUCCACUCCAUAUAUUGUGCAGACCCACUGUGGGCACAUUCCUGGCAAUGUCCUGAUAUAUGGAAGUCGUUAUCUGACCCCAGGUUUGCUCCUCGCAUACUUAGUGCCGGCACAGUCAAUUUUGUUUAUAUCUGAGCCCGGUUAUGAUGAGCAAUUGUUUCAGCAGCCUCCAACUCAGUGUCGACAAACAAGAAAUCCAACUGCAAUUUUGGAUAAUGUACAGUUAGAAUUUCAUUUUCCCUGUUACACUUCAUUUCCCUAACUGCUUUGACCGAAUUACACAGAGUUUAGAGAAGAUUACGCAAGGAUGUAAUUAACAACGUGAAUGUCGAGAGAAGUGUGAUUAACGUUGACUUUUGUAUUUUUUGGAUGAUCUGUAAUUAUCAUCAUUACCACCAUUCAAUGUUUUACCUGUGAGACGAAGACUAGGUGGUCAGUAGUAUUAUUAUAUCAUGAAUAUACUCUUCCACAAAGGCUCCUUUACUAUGAGAUUAUUAAUGAAUCCUGUCUCAACACAGAAUACUAUUGUUAUCUAGUUGCUUUCUCAACCUAUUAGAGUCGUUAUUGAGUUGGUCAGACAAAUUAGCGUCCGUAAACUUUACCUCGAUUUUUUAAACCUUUAAGAAAGUUGUGUUUAAUAAUCUGUCAGACUAAGAGUCAUAAUUAAAAACCAUUCUAACUGCAAA
Long non-coding RNA from Carcharodon carcharias (great white shark), 6172 nucleotides. RefSeq lists it as uncharacterized. The record is from RefSeq and is a predicted model, not a curated record. The transcript is spliced from 2 exons. NCBI's taxonomy places the organism in Eukaryota, Metazoa, Chordata, Chondrichthyes, Lamniformes, Lamnidae.